Molecule: ribosomal RNA, 253 nt
Filed under: uncultured bacterium
Lineage: Bacteria
Description: partial 16S ribosomal RNA
Rfam family: Bacterial small subunit ribosomal RNA
Source: RNAcentral
UACGGGGGGGGCAAGCGUUGUUCGGAAUUACUGGGCGUAAAGGGUUCGUAGGUGGCCAACUAAGUCAGACGUGAAAUCCCUCAGCUUAACUGGGGAACUGCGUCUGAGACUGGAUGGCUUGAGUGCAGGAGAGGAACGCGGAAUUCCAGGUGUAGCGGUGAAAUGCGUAGAUAUCCGGAGGAACACCAGUGGCGAAAGCGGCCACCUGGACUGCACCUGACGCUGACACGCGAAAGCUAGGGGAGCGAACGGG